GAAUAUUGCACAAUGGGCGCAAGCCUGAUGCAGCAACGCCGCGUGAGGGAUGAAGGCCUUCGGGUUGUAAACCUCUUUUAGUAGGGAAGAAGCGCAAGUGACGGUACCUGCAGAAAAAGCACCGGCUAACUACCUGCCAGCAGCCGCGGUAAUACGUAGGGUGCAAGCGUUGUCCGGAAUUAUUGGGCGUAAAGAGCUCGUAGGCGGUUUGUCGCGUCUGCUGUGAAAGCCCGGGGCUCAACCCCGGGUCUGCAGUGGGUACGGGCAGACUUGAGUGCGGUAGGGGAGAUUGGAAUUCCUGGUGUAGCGGUGGAAUGCGCAGAUAUCAGGAGGAACACCGAUGGCGAAGGCAGAUCUCUGGGCCGUUACUGACGCUGAGGAGCGAAAGCAUGGGGAGCGAACA
RNAcentral lists this ribosomal RNA (403 nucleotides) under uncultured bacterium. RNAcentral's name for it is "bacterial SSU rRNA". It matches the Rfam family "Bacterial small subunit ribosomal RNA", at positions 359 to 774 of the family's 1533-position model. The record is from RNAcentral.